AGGGAAUGCAUAAUGGCAGUAUUUUCUUUGGAACAAAUUAAGAAGAUAGUAACAAAUAACAGAAGAAAUACUUCUACACAUAUAUUUUCCAUGGGCAAUAAAUAGAUAGUAUAUAAUUAUGAAA
RNAcentral lists this non-coding RNA (124 nucleotides) under Pongo abelii (Sumatran orangutan). Lineage: Eukaryota; Metazoa; Chordata; Mammalia; Primates; Hominidae. The record is from RNAcentral.